UACGGAGGGAGCUAGCGUUGUUCGGAAUUACUGGGCGUAAAGCGCACGUAAGCGGCUUUGUAAGUUAGGGGUGAAAUCCCGGGGCUCAACCCCGGAACUGCCUUUGAUACUGCGAAUCUCGAGUCCGGAAGAGGUGAGUGGAAUUCCUAGUGUAGAGGUGAAAUUCGUAGAUAUUAGGAAGAACACCAGUGGCGAAGGCGGCUCACUGGUCCGGUACUGACGCUGAGGUGCGAAAGCGUGGGGAGCAAACAGG
RNAcentral lists this ribosomal RNA (253 nucleotides) under uncultured bacterium. RNAcentral's name for it is "partial 16S ribosomal RNA". It matches the Rfam family "Bacterial small subunit ribosomal RNA", at positions 524 to 776 of the family's 1533-position model. The record is from RNAcentral.